AGCGCCGUUAUACUUAGAGGCCAGUGUUGUCUGGAAUAAUUAGGCGUAAAGAGCGCGCGGGGGUGCUCUUAAGUCUGAUGUGAAAGCGCCCGGCUCAACACUGGAGAGUCAUUGUAAAAAGGGGGACUCGAGUGCAGAAGAGAAGAGAGGAAUUCCACGUGUAGCGGUGAAAUGCGUAGAGAUAUGGAGGAACACCAGUGGCGAAGGCGACUCUUUGGUCUGUAAAAGACGCUGAGGCGCGAAAGAGUGGGGAGCAAACACGAUUAGAUACCCCGGUAGUCCACGCCGUAAACGAUGAGUGCUAAGUGUUAGAGGGUUUCCGCCCCUUAGUGCUGCAGCAAACGCAUUAAGCACUCUGCCCGGGGAGUACGGCCGCAAGGCUGAAACUCAAAGGAAAAGACGGGGGCCCGCACAAGCGGUGGAGCACGUGGUUUAAUUUGAAGCAACACGAAGAACCCUACCAGGUGUUGACAUCUCCUGACAAUCCCAGAGAUAGGACGUUCCCCUUUGGGGGACAGGAUGACAGGUGGUGCAUGGUUGUCGUCAGCUCGUGUCGUGAGAUGUUGGGUUAAGUCCCGCAACGAGCGCAACCCUUGAUCUUAGUUGCCAGCAUUUAGUUGGGCACUCUAAGGUGACUGCCGGUGACAAACCGGAGGAAGGUGGGGAUGACGUCAAAUCAUCAUGCCCCUUAUGACCUGGGCUACACACGUGCUACAAUGGAUGGUACAAAGGGCAGCAAAACCGCGAGGUGGAGCCAAUCCCAUAAAACCAUUCUCAGUUCGGAUUGUAGGCUGCAACUCGCCUACAUGAAGCUGGAAUCGCUAGUAAUCGCGGAUCAGCAUGCCGCGGUGAAUACGUUCCCGGGCCUUGUACACACCGCCCGUCACACCACGAGAGUUUGUAACACCCGAAGUCGGUGGGGUAACCUUUUAGGAGA
This 937-nucleotide ribosomal RNA is filed under the name Niallia nealsonii. RNAcentral's name for it is "bacterial SSU rRNA". It matches the Rfam family "Bacterial small subunit ribosomal RNA", at positions 513 to 1449 of the family's 1533-position model. Lineage: Bacteria; Bacillati; Bacillota; Bacilli; Caryophanales; Bacillaceae. The record is from RNAcentral.